CUCCUGGCUGGGCAAAGGAUGUUAACAUAUAUGUCAGUUUAAGGGACUUAGAGACUUCUCCGUAGUUUCUGGAUGAAAAGUCACCAAAGAAAAUUCAUGACUGCAACAUUUUCUCUGAGCCCAAACUGAGGGUUUAUUCUUCAAAGACAAGGCUUCUGGGAAUGUCACCCUACCCCUGUGUGACUCCUCCCCAUUGUUUCCUGGGCCAGAUGGUCAGAGCUGACUUUACUACAGUGUGUGAAAAUAUCAGGCUAUAACUCUAUCCUGUAAAUGAGUCACAAGAUCUGAAGGUUUUAAAAAUGGGAAUCUCCCUGCACAAGUUUCUUUUGCCUGCUACCAUAUGAGAUGUGUCUUUCACCUUCCACCAUCAUUGUGAGGCCUCCCUAGACACAUGGAACUGUAAGUACAUUAAAUCUCUUUAUUUUGUAAAUUGCCCAGUCUCAAGUAUGUCUUUAUCAGCAAUGUGAAAAUGGACUAAUACACCAUAGUUUCAAAAACCCACUCAUGCAAGUAUUUCCAAACUGCCUGGCCAUGCAACCUGAAAAGAAGAAUGAACUGAUUGUUGGGUUUUAUGGUUGAUUAGUGGAUGGGAGGGGGUGACUUUCAGAUACUUGCAAGCUCCCUGGAU
Molecule: long non-coding RNA, 628 nt
Filed under: Callithrix jacchus (white-tufted-ear marmoset)
Lineage: Eukaryota; Metazoa; Chordata; Mammalia; Primates; Cebidae
Description: lncRNA (ENSCJAG00000075148.1)
Source: RNAcentral